AUUGAACGCUGGCGGCAGGCCUAACACAUGCAAGUCGAGCGGAUGAAGGGAGCUUGCUCCUGGAUUCAGCGGCGGACGGGUGAGUAAUGCCUAGGAAUCUGCCUGGUAGUGGGGGAUAACGUCCGGAAACGGGCGCUAAUACCGCAUACGUCCUGAGGUAGAAAGUGGGGGAUCUUCGGACCUCACGCUAUCAGAUGAGCCUAGGUCGGAUUAGCUAGUUGGUGGGGUAAAGGCCUACCAAGGCGACGAUCCGUAACUGGUCUGAGAGGAUGAUCAGUCACACUGGAACUGAGACACGGUCCAGACUCCUACGGGAGGCAGCAGUGGGGAAUAUUGGACAAAGGGCGAAAGCCUGAUCCAGCCAUGCCGCGUGUGUGAAGAAGGUCUUCGGAUUGUAAAGCACUUUAAGUUGGGAGGAAGGGCAGUAAGUUAUUACCUUGCUGUUUUGACGUUACCAACAGAAUAAGCACCGGCUAACUUCGUG
RNAcentral lists this ribosomal RNA (484 nucleotides) under uncultured bacterium. Its description in RNAcentral is "partial 16S ribosomal RNA". It matches the Rfam family "Bacterial small subunit ribosomal RNA", at positions 30 to 507 of the family's 1533-position model. The record is from RNAcentral.